GACGAACGCUGGCGGCGUGCUUAACACAUGCAAGUCGAACGGGCCCGCUCUCUUUUUUGGGGGUGGGUUGAGUGGCGAACGGGUGAGUAUCACGUGAGUAACCUGCCCCCUGCUCCUGGAUAACUGCUUGAAAGGGCGGCUAAUACGGGGUGUGCCGGCUGGUCCGCAUGGGCCUGGUCGGGAUAGUUUCAUCUUCGGGUGUUUCGGUGGGGAUGGGCUCGCGGCCUAUCAGCUUGUUGGUGGGGUGAUGGCCCACCAAGGCGGUGACGGGUAGCCGGCCUGAGAGGGUGGGCGGCCACACUGGGACUGAGACACGGCCCAGACUCCUGCGGGAGGCAGCAGUGGGGGGUAUUGCACAAUGGGCGGAAGCCUGAUGCAGCGCCGUCGCGUGAGGGAUGGAGGCCUUCGGGUUGUGAACCUCUUUCUCCGGUGGUGAAGGCCCUGUCCGUUGCGGCGGGGUUGACGGUAGCCGGGUAUGAAGCGCCGGCUAACUACGUG
Molecule: ribosomal RNA, 498 nt
Filed under: uncultured bacterium
Lineage: Bacteria
Description: partial 16S ribosomal RNA
Rfam family: Bacterial small subunit ribosomal RNA
Source: RNAcentral